AGACGUGGGUGCAGGUGUCGGAGAAGGUGUCGGGACUGGCGUCGGAGCAGGUGUAGGUGCCGAAGUCGGAGUAGGUGUCGGUGCAGGAGUCGGAGCCGGCGUGCGUGCGGGCGUUGGAGUGGGUGCUGGGACUGGCGUGGGUGCGAGCAUUGGCACAGGUGUCGGUGCAGGAGUUGGAGAUGGCGCCUGUGGAGCCCUAGGUGCUGGGGUAGGUGCGGAUCUAGGAGCAGGUGUCGGUGCCGGUGUCGGGGCCGUCCUUGGAGCUGGCGUAGGAGAUGGCGCCUGUGGAGCCCUAGGUGCUGGGGUAGGUGCGGAUCUAGGAGCAGCUAUCGGUGCCGGUGUCGGUGCCGUCCUUGGAGCUGGCGUGGGAGCAGGCGUAGGAGAUGGCGCCUGUGGAGCCCUAGGUGCUGGGGUAGGUGCCGAUCUAGGAGCAGGUGUCGGUGUCAUCCUUGGAGCUGGCGUCGGAGCAGGCGUAGGAGAUGGCGCCGGUGGAGCCCUAGGUGCUGGGGUAGGUGCGGAUCUAGGAGCAGGUGUCGGUGCCGGUGUCGGUGCCAUCCUAGGAGAAGGAGUGGGAGCAGGCAUAGGAGAUGGCGCCUGUGGAGCCGUUGGUGCUAGUGGUAGGUGCGGAUCUAGGAGCAGGUGCCGGUUCCGGUGUCGGUGCUGUCCUUGGAGCAGGCGUGGGAGCAGGCGUAGGAGAAGGCGCCUGUGGAGCCCUAGGUGCUGGGGUAGGUGCAGAUCUAGGAGCAGGUGUUGGAGCCGUCCAUUGGAGCUGGCGUGGGAGCUGGCGUAGGAGAUGGCGCCUGUGGAGCCCUAGGUGCUGGGGUAGGUGCGGAUGUAGGAGCCGGUGUCGGUGCCGUCAUUGGAGAAGCCGUGGGAGCAGGCGUAGGAGAUGGCGCCUGUGGAGCCAUAGGUGCUGGGGUAGGUGCGGAUUUAGGAGCAGGUGCCGGUGCCGGUGUCGGUGCCGUCCUUGGAGGUGGCGUGGGAGCAGGCGUAGGAGAUGGCGCCUGUGGAGCCCUCUGUGCCGGGGUAGGUGCGGAUCUAGGAGCAGGUGUCGGUGCCGUCCUUGGAGCUGGUGUGGGAGCAGGCGUAGGAGAUGGCGCCUGUGGAGCCCUAGGUGCCGGCGUAGGUGCGGAUCUAGGAGCAGGUGUCGGUGCCGAUAUCGGUGCCGUCCUUGGAGCUGGCGUAGGAGAUGGCGCCUGUGGAGCCCUAGGUGCUGGGGUAGGUGCGGAUCUAGGAGCAAGUGUCGGUGCCGUCCUUGGAGCUGGCAUGGGAGCAGGCGUAGGAGAUGGCGCCUGUGGAGCCCUAGGUGCUGGGGUAGGUGCGGAUCUAGGAGCAGGUGUUGGUGCCGUCCUUGGAGCUGGCGUGGGAGCUGGCGUGGGAGCAGGCGUAGGAGAUGGCGCCUGUGGAGCCCUAGGAGCUGGGGUAGGUGAGGAUCUAGGAGCAGGUGUUGGUGUCGUUGUCGGUGCCGUCCUUGGAGGUGGCAUUGGCGCAGGCGUCGGAGAUGGCGCCUGUGGAGCCCUAGGUGCUGGGGUAGGUGCGGAUCUAGGAGCAGGUGUUGGUGCCGUCCUUGGAGCUGGCGUGGGCGCAGGUGUAGGAGAUAGCGCCUGUGGAGCCCUAGGGGCUGGGGUAGGUGCCGAUCUAGGAGCAGGAGUGGGUGCAGAUCUCGGAGCUGGUGAUGGUGCAAUCCUAGGAGCUGGCGUGGGAGCAGACCUUGGGGGUGAUCGCUUGGCCUGCGAAGAUGGCACAAGCACGAGUGCCACGACCAGGAGCAGGAGCCCAGGGUAAGUUAUAGACCUGGACGCCAUUGCUAGCCGCGGAUGC
Molecule: long non-coding RNA, 1821 nt
Filed under: Setaria italica (foxtail millet)
Lineage: Eukaryota; Viridiplantae; Streptophyta; Magnoliopsida; Poales; Poaceae
Description: long non-coding RNA (SITA_LNC006213)
Source: RNAcentral